AGGAAUAUUGGUCAAUGGACGAGAGUCUGAACCAGCCAAGUAGCGUGAAGGAUGAAGAUUCUAUGGAUUGUAAACUUCUUUUAUACGGGAAUAAACGGAUCCACGUGUGGAUUUUUGCAUGUACCGUAUGAAUAAGGAUCGGCUAACUCCGUGCCAGCAGCCGCGGUAAUACGGAGGAUCCGAGCGUUAUCCGGAUUUAUUGGGUUUAAAGGGAGCGUAGAUGGGUUGUUAAGUCAGUUGUGAAAGUUUGCGGCUCAACCGUAAAAUUGCAAUUGAUACUGGCAGUCUUGAGUACAGUUGAGGUAGGCGGAAUUCGUGGUGUAGCGGUGAAAUGCUUAGAUAUCACGAAGAACUCCGAUUGCGAAGGCAGCUUACUAACCUGUAACUGACAUUGAUGCUCGAAAGUGUGGGUAUCAAACAGGAUUAGAUACCCUGGUAGUCCACACGGUAAACGAUGAAUACUCGCUGUAGGCGAUAUACGGUCUGCGGCCAAGCGAAAGCAUUAAGUAUUCCACCUGGGGAGUACGCCGGCAACGGUGAAACUCAAAGGAAUUGACGGGGGCCCGCACAAGCGGAGGAACAUGUGGUUUAAUUCGAUGAUACGCGAGGAACCUUACCCGGGCUUAAAUUGCAACCGAAUAUGGCGGAAACGCUAUAGCUAGCAAUAGCGGUUGUGAAGGUGCUGCAUGGUUGUCGUCAGCUCGUGCCGUGAGGUGUCGGCUUAAGUGCCAUAACGAGCGCAACCCUUGCCGAUAGUUACUAACAGGUUAUGCUGAGGACUCUGUCGGGACUGCCAUCGUAAGAUGUGAGGAAGGUGGGGAUGACGUCAAAUCAGCACGGCCCUUACGUCCGGGGCUACACACGUGUUACAAUGGGGGGUACAGAGGGCUGCUACCACGCAAGUGGAUGCCAAUCCCAAAAACCUCUCUCAGUUCGGAUUGAAGUCUGCAACCCGACUUCAUGAAGCUGGAUUCGCUAGUAAUCGCGCAUCAGCCACGGCGCGGUGAAUACGUUCCCG
This 1018-nucleotide ribosomal RNA is filed under the name uncultured bacterium. RNAcentral describes it as "bacterial SSU rRNA". It matches the Rfam family "Bacterial small subunit ribosomal RNA", at positions 357 to 1376 of the family's 1533-position model. The record is from RNAcentral.